Sapajus apella (tufted capuchin) is the source of this 2723-nucleotide long non-coding RNA. RefSeq lists it as uncharacterized. The record is from RefSeq and is a predicted model, not a curated record. The transcript is spliced from 2 exons. NCBI's taxonomy places the organism in Eukaryota, Metazoa, Chordata, Mammalia, Primates, Cebidae.
UGCCUGGGCUUCCCAAAGUGCUGGUACUACAGGCUUGAGCCACUGGGCCAGGUCAUUUUGCAUAUACUGAUGCAAAGUCACCUUGCUUAUUCAUUCUCCUUAUCACCGACCAAGAAGUAAAAAUCAAGACAUACUGGAUGGACCAAAGGGACAGGCUCUGUCUGUCCAGCCAUUUUGACUGUCAUACCUCUUGUGAGUGGCAACCACAAUGCUUAUACUUGUGGAUGCAGAUGGCUGAUAAUUCCUGCACUGCAAAUUUGAUCUCAUCUCUUAUCUAAGCUCCUUUAAUGGAAUUUUGUGGAGAAGUGAUAACCUUCCCUGAAUGUAAGAGUGGGCUAAGGAAUCUCAAACCACAAGACUCAUUGACCAUAAGCAAAAUGGGAAUGUGUUUUUGGAGCAGCAGCAGAUUUUUACUUAGGACUAUUAAAGAAUAUGCUAAAGAAAGAUAAGCAACUUGAGCAGUUACUAAAUAUACCAAGCAGGCAUGGGGCUGAGAUAUGCGGGGUUAUGUGCAGCUGAACAAACAAAAUGACUAUUUCUGUAGGGAUCCUGCGUGUGUGGCACUUUGGGUUUGAUGACGCACCUUACUAUUUAAGGAAUGCCGGAGAAUUGUCCUAUCUGAAGUCCAGAAUAGAUUUUUCCCUUCAAGAGAAAAUUUGUUUUUUAAUGUUUGAAUGGUCUUUAAGUAAAAUGUAUCUGUUAUGAAAAUAUCUAAUAAUUUACCAUGCCACCAAGAUGGCACAGCUUAAGAGCCAUGCUGAGAUCAAGAAAAUCGAUAUAAUUGGUAGAGUACAACAGGCUUCAUUUUUUUUUUUCCUUUUUGGCAAUAAAAUGGCUCCAUUACCAUGUUAGUGAGUUUCAGAAAAUGGAUGGUUAUUGACCUGAGAUUACUUGUGAAGCAUAAUGUAGAUCAUUCUGCUAAAAAAAAAAAUUGUUUUAUUAAAGCCCAAAGUACUAUAUUUAGAUCAAUAUUUCAACACAUGACAGAAGUGUUUACUUUUAUUAAAAGUAGUAAAAUUGAAAUGUUUGUCAUUAAUGAAUGAUUGACAACCUUGCUUAAGGUAUCUUAGCCACAUAUAGGAUCAUAAGCAAGAUCCUUAAGGUACUUUAAAGAAAAUUAGGCUCUCUGCUCCUCCGGUUUGACAGCCACAAUUUCUUGUGCCGUGUCAGCCAUGUCCCUGAGACACCAUGGUGGAAGUACAGGUCAGAGUAAAUGGAUUUGGCCAUAUUGAGCACCAGGUCACCAAGACUUCUUCUAACUUUGGGAAAGUAGAUAUUGUUGUCAUCAGCGAUCCUUCCAUUGACCUCAACUACAUGCUCUGCAUAUUCCAGUAUGAUCCCUUGGCAUUGUCAAGGCUGAGAAUGGGAAACUUGUCAUCAAUGGAAAUCCUGUCGUCAUGUUACAGGAGCAAGAUCCCAUCAAAUGGGAUGAUGCCAGUGCUGAUUAUGUUGUGAAGCCCACUGGCCUCUUCACUCCUACUCCCAUGGAGAAGGCUAGGGCUUACUGAGAGGAAGGAGUCAAAAUGGUCAUCAUCUCUGCCCUCUCUACUGACGACCCCAUGUUCAUGAUGGAUGUGAACCAUGAGAAGUUCAAAAACAGCCUCAAGAACAUCAGCAAUGCCUCCUAUACCACUAACUUCUUCGUCCUCCUAGCCAAGGUCAUCCAUGCCAACUUUGGCAUCAUAGAGGGAAUCAUGACCACAGUCCAUGCCAUCACUGCCACCUAUAAGCCUGGGGAAUGGCCCCUCUGGGAAACAGCAGUGUGACAGCCGUGGGGCUCUCCAGAACAUCAUCUGUGCAUCUAGUGGUGCUGCAUCUACCAAGCUGAACAGGAAGCUCACAUUCUGUGUCCCCACAACAAAUGUGUUGGUCAUGGAUCAGACCUGCCAUCUGGAGAAACCUGCCAAAUAUGAUGACAUCAAGAAGGUGACAUCAUCAAUGAAGACAUUAGAGGGCCCCUUCAAGGGCAUCUUGGUCUAUACUGAGCACCAGGCUGUCUCCUCCAACUUUAAUGGCGACACUCUUCAACUUUCCAUGCUGGGGCAGCAUUGCCCCCAACAACCACUUUGUCAAGCUCAUAUUCUGGUAUGACAAUGAAUUUGGCUACAGCAACAGGUGAUAGGCCUCAAAGGAGUAAGGUCCCCAGACCACCAGCCCCACCAACAAAGGCAUGAGAGGGAAACGAGCAGCCCUCAGCUGCUGGGGAGUCCCUGUCACACUCAGGCACCCACCAAAGUGAGACUCUUCCGUCGUCACUGGUUCCAUGGCAGACACCCUGAAGUGGGAGGGGCCUAGGGAGCCUCACCUUGUUGUGUAUCAUCAAUAAAGUCUCCUGUAAUAAAAAAAAGAAUAAAAUUAUACUGAAAGAUAGUAUUUAAUAAAGAGUUCAGAUGGUUUGUAUUCAUGUGUGAAUCAGUAUCAAGCAAUGGAUUUAUCAUUUUGGAACUUAACUCCCUUGUAAAAAAUAUCUGAGUUGUUUAUGAGUUACUGGCCCUUUCUUAUAAAGCUUCUGUUGUUGCUUUUCUCAGAGAACUGGGAAGCCCCUUUCAAUUUUGGUUGUGAUCUGUGGACAGCUCUCUAUCCCAAAGACUGGAAAAUUUCUUUUCUAACCAUAGGAGAAAAACUGAAGCAGAAACAGCGAGAAACACAGAUCAUUGUUGAACAUUUGGAAUAGAAGAUGGCAAUUAAUUAGGACUGACAUACGUUUCCUUCAAAUAGGCCAG